GACCCUACAAGAGUAGUUUGGCUCUGUAGGGGAUGUUGGGAGUGGGGUGGGGUAGUGCCCACUAGGUGCCCUCACCACUCAGAGGGCCUGUCUUGUUCACCCUGACAGCUCUGACUAUCCACCUCUGUAAGAGCCUGCAAGCCCCCACAGGUGCUCCCUACAAAGCCUUAAAUUUGGCCAGCCGCGUGGUUACUGUGAUCUGCCAUGAGCAAAGGUCAGAGGGACCAGAUUUCAGCAGAGACCAACAACACAACUAUCAUCAAAGUCCAGACUCUACUGGGAGGAGACAAGCCAGCUCCCAUAUUGCCAUCUGGACCAACCUGUGGCUCCUGAUUUUUCUGCCUCAGGUGAGAACCAGAAAAAAAAGCAGAGCUUGGGGCUGGGUAGGGGGAAUAUGCCAGAGCAGGGGCUUCUAGUGCCAGGUAGCCUCUGGAUUUGAUCCAGAAUAAAAAUGACUCACAGGCUUGUAGUUUGUACUAGUUUGCAAGUGUGCACACACACAUGCGUGCUAUAACUACAGCACCAAAGUUAAGGAGUUUCAUGUGUCUCCCCAGCUCCCUCAGAGAAGAUCUCAAAGGUCUAGGAAUUGGAUUUCAGAUAAGACCCGGUUUCAGGCUUCGGCAACCACCAUCUAUGGUACCUCUUGCUUUGUUUUGUACCUAGACUGUAGCUCCCCAAGCCUUCUCUGCCGGGCUCCUGUUUAGGAUUGUGGGUAAGAGACCAGGCUCAAAGGGGUUCCUUUCCACCCCCUCUCCUACUCCUGCCUUCCGCCCCCUGCUGGCCACUGCCCUUUCCUGCUCCAAGCUGAGGGCAGUUCAGGGUGAGGAGGCGGUGCUUGCUCCUUACAGGGCUGGGAGAUCCCCAGCUGGAAACCAGUUAGCUAUUUAUAACUGAGUCUAACUGAAGGGGAAGGCCUGAGAGGAGGUGUGGAGCUUCUGCAGGCUGCUACAGCAUUUGCAAGAACCCCAGGCUUCUGCUUAGGCUGGCCUUUUGUUCUUUUCUGGGUGAGGGUACUUUGAGCCUCUGAAAGCUCUAUGAAGCUUAAGGAUCCCAGGCUGUUUUCUGACCUAAAAAAUAGGACACGUACUCCAGUUGCCCUGCACUGGGCAUUUAGGCCCUUCUCAUGGGGAGUAUUGAAAACUGGAAUUGGUAAAAUGAGACUUUUUUUUUCGGGUGGGGGUGGGAAUACCAUGUGAUGCACAAUAAGAUGGUCUCUGAUAUUUCCAUGCAUUUUUCUUAUUGUAUUCCUAUGCUUGCCUUCUCAACCAAAUUAUAUACUCUAUAGAAAUAAAGAGAGAGGAACUAAAUCUCUUGCUAAUGGUACCAACCUCUCCUUACCAAGACUGGGUUGGGUGCAACUUUUGUUUCCUAACCCUACAAAACCUUUCCAUUGCCUUUUGCUUUUGCUUGCCUGGUUUUGCUACUAUUUGGUGACUUCUUAUUGAUAUGGACUUAUCUGCCUUCUUGAUAAUCCCAUUGUGGCAUAGUAAACAAUUGUUGAAUGACUGAAUAUGAAUCAGUGAUGGCUAAUUCUGCUUGUGGAAUGCUUGAAACAUACUUAAUUGUCACAGUUUUUCUUUAGUAUCGGGGGUUGAACUCGGGGGUACUCAACCACUAAGCCACAUCCCCAGCCCUAUUUUGUAUUUUAUUUAAAGACGGAGUCUCACUGACUUGCUUAGCACCUCACUGUUGCUGAGGCUGGAUUUGAACUCGAAAUCCUCCUGCCUCAGCCUUCCGAGCCACUGGGAUUACAGGUGUGUGCCUAACCAGCUCAUUGUCACAUUUAAUCAGUGUUUUAUAGGUUGGAAAAUAAACUUGGCUGGGUGUAGUGCCAAACAUCUGUAAUCCCAGUGAUUUAGUAGAUUGAGGCAGUAGGAUCACAACUUCAAAGCCAGCAAUUUAGCAAGACCCUAAGCAAUGUAGUGAGACCCUGUCCCAAAAGAAAGAAAAUAAGCUGGCUGUGGUGGCACAUUCUUGUAAUCCCAGCAAUCUGGGAAACUGGGGCAGGAAGAUCGCAAGUUCAAGACCAGCCUCAGCAAUUUAGCAAGGCCCUAAGCAAUUUAGCGAGACUCUCUCAAAAUAAAAAAGCAAAAGGGCUGGAUCUGUGACUUAGUGCCCCUGGGUUCAAUGGCCAGUACCAUAAGAAAAAAAGAUUAGCUUUGGUCAUUAUUUUUAAGUGCCUUCACCCAGAUCUUUUUUUCUUUUCCUUUGGUGAUAGUGGGGAUUGAACCCAGGGCCUCAUGCAUUUUAGGCAAGUGCUUUACCACUGUACUACAUCCCUGAGCCUUUUUAAAAAAUUUUUUGAGACAGGGUCUCACAGAGUUGCCCUGACUGUCAUGGAACUUGUGAUCCUCUGCAUCAGCCUCCUGAGUAGCUGGUUAGAUCUUAAGUGGAGCUGUGAUAAGACCUGGUGUCCGACUUCAGAGUAGUUCUUAGGAGGAGGCUGCCUCCGUGCUGGCAUCCAGUCAGAACCUGGUACCUGUGACUGCACAGCAGCCAGGUAGGUGAGGAGGGACACAUGGGGUAUUUGGCUGGGUUCUGCUGGGAAACUGAGGCAACACAGAGACCUUCUUCAAACCCCAGUUCUUGUGAUCAAAUCAGAAAGAUUUCAGAUAUGUUGCUUAGAGUGACAGGCAUGAGUUUAUUAGAAUGGAUAGGAAUGGGGCUGACGAUAUAGCUCAGUUGGUAGAGUGUUUGCCUUGCAUGCACAGGCCCUGGGUUCAGUCCCUAGCAUCACACAAAAAACAGGGAUAGGAAUGGGGAAAAGGAGAAGGACAGUGCACUUCUCCUGCCUUCCAGUUUUUUUCCUCCACAUUUUUUAAAAUUGGUACAUUAUAGUUGUAUAUAAUGAUGGGAUUUGUUGUUACAUAUUUGUACAUGUAUAAUAUAACUAUAUAAUUUGGCUAAUAUCCUUCCCAGCACUUCUUCCCUCCCUCCCUUCUACCCCGCCUUUGUCCUUUUCCCCCAUUCUAUUAAUCUCCUUUGCUUUUCAUGCAUGGCUUCCCACCUUUCUUUUUCUUUUUUCUCUCUGGCAUCCACAAAUGAGAGAAAACAUACAAUGCUUGACCUUCUGAGUUUCUGCCCUCCAGUUUUAUUGAGGGUCCCAGGGAGGUUUCCAGAGAGUCCUGCCCAGGUGCGCUGCUUGGCUUUUUUUUUUUUUUUUUUUUUUGUAGCCAUAGAUGUGUUACCGCUGCUUGCUUCCCUGAAUGCUGAAGUAUAAUACCAGAGAAGCACGCCGAGGCAAGUUUAGAGUGGAAAGUGGAAGCUUUAUUAAAGGACAGCAGAAAAGACUUCUCUCCAGAGGAAGAAGGGGACCCAAAAGGCGGAACCCGUGGAAGGGGGAGGUCUUCCCUUUUUUAUAACUAAGGUCUUCUUUCAGCUUUCCCACACUCCUGUCCUUUGUUUCCCUUUAUCUUUCAGUGAAAGAAUGCAGGUGGGAAGGCCCCAAAAGGUGGGAGAUAGGUGGGCUGGAGGAUUAAUCUGGGCAGGAAGGGUCUGGGGUGGCUUUUGAUUAGCAUUUCCCUGUUUGCUGGGAGCUGUUUCAUUAACAGUUCCUUAGAAUGGGUUCCGGGCCUUGGGGACAUUAACAUUUCAAUUUCCACAAGUGCUGCUUUGGUUUCCUGGACUCCAUUCUCUAUAAUGGCCUCCAUUUUAUUUAUCUUACUUGGUAUUAGACCCGAUUUACCUAACUACACUAACUACCUAUCUGUAAAUCUGGCCUCUUGGUUUGUUUAAUUUUAUGUGGUGCUAAGGAUCAAACCCAGUGCCUCACUCUUGUGGACAAGUGCUCUGCCACUGAGCUACAGCCCCAGCCUGCUACCACUUGACUUUUGACUGACAGCAGGAUGACAUCAGGUUUUCAAGUCCCUACUGCCAUUACCACUCUAAGUGACUUUGGCCCAUGCUGACCCUGCUGGAACCUGUUCUUACAGAUUUUAUGGUUAGGGGGAAUUAUCCUUAUCUACCCGAGUUCCAGGUGUAAGGGUCUCUCCUUCAGUGUAAUUUGUGUUUUUUUUUUUUUUUUUGUACCAGGGAUUAAACCCAGGGGUGCUAAAACAGUGAGUCAUAUCCCCAGCCCUUUUAAUACAUGUUUAUUUUGGGACACGGUCUUGCUAAGUUACUGAGUCUGGCUUUGAACUUGUGAUUCUCCUGCCUCAGCCUCUCAAGCCACUGGAAUUAUAGGCAUGCACCACCUUGCUCAGCUAAUUUGUGUUCUUAUCGUUGGCAUUUCAUGCCUACAUUUCAUGCCUACAUUUCUUCUGCAGAUAUCAGGUGGUUUGCUGAAGAAUGUAACAUAUCCUGUUGACUCAAGCCAGGCAGUACCACAGGUAAAUUGCUUUUCAAAAGAGAAAGAAUGUGGGGGUCAGCACAGUGGGCUGGGUUUUAUAGAAUUCUUCCCUUAACCUCAUGUUCCCACCCUCAGGUCUUUCUGUCCCCUAUCAGCAUGAGCCUCUCCCUGCCAAGCUUGCCUGUCUUGCGAUUAGUGUUCCCCGGCCUGGCUCAAUGACACAGAUACUUCAGACGGCCAGGAAAGCUGCCAGGGAAUCCUCCUCCUAAGAAGCUUAUGGAGAGAAAGACCUGCUCUCAUCUGCCAGUGGGAGGAUCCUGAGGUAGCUGCUGUUGAGGCUGGAGUCAGUGGUUGGGCUGGAGGGCUGAGCGACAGGUCACUGGGAUUACUGGCAUGUGUGGCCACACAUCCACCAGGCUAACACCUCUAUUUAAACUUGAGGGAAUGGAAAGAAAAGUUACAAAACAUGUUCAAGACCACAUAAGUAUGUGUAAGAAUUAAGAUCUUACCCUGGACUGCUGGCUCCAGAAUCCAGUUGUUAAUCCUGAAGUACUUUUAAAAGUAAACAGGAAGGGUAAAAGAAAGGUGUUAGGGACAGAAAGGGGGCUGCUCCCCUCUCCAAUCAUGGAAAUGCAAACGAAGAUGUAUUUCCACCAAAAAAAAAAAAAAAAGAUACUUGAAUAGUUAAUAAGCAUAUGAAAAGAUAAUGUCAUCAGAAAAAUGAAAAUCAAAAGCAGAAUGACACCAGCCAUGAACAAUUUGAAAAAGAGAUGAAAAUAAUUUAAUUUUCAAUACUAUCCAGAAGAAUAAAAUACUAGGAAUAAAUUUAAGCAAGGACAUAAAAGAUUUAUACACUGGAAACUAUAAAAUGUUGCUAAAAUAGAUUAAAGAAGUCCUAAAUAAACAGAGAGACGUCUUAAGUUCAUGGAUUGGAAGACUUAAUAUUAUUAAGAAUGGAAAUGCUAUCUAAAACAAUCUAUAGAUUCACUGAAAUCCCUAUCAAAAUUCCAAUGGCCUUUUUUGCAGAAAUGGUAAAGCCCAUCCUUAAAUUCAUAUGGAAUUAUAAGGAGCACUAAAUAGCUAAAACAGUACUGAAAAAGAAGAACAAAUUUGGAAGGCUUGCACUUGUUUUAAAACAAUGCAGUUGGGUGUGGGGUGCACACCUCUAAUCCCAGCUACUUGGGAGGCUAAGGAAGGAAAAUUGCAAGUUUCAAGCCAAUCUCAGCAAUAUAUGAAGACUUUGAGCAAUUUAAUGAGAACUUGUCUCAAAAAAAUAAAAAGGUAAGGCAUCCCUGGGAUCAUUCCCCGGUACCAACAACAACAAAAACCAUUUACUAUAAAACUACAUAAUUCAAAAUAAUAUACUGUUAUUAAGAUUAGAUAUAGACUGAUAGAAUAGAAUUCAGAGUUUAAAAACUAUCCCACAUGUCUGUGGCCAACUGAUUUUCUUCAGUAGUGUCAGGACCAUUUAAUGGUAAAAUAAUAGUCUCAUUAACAAAUGGUGCUGUGCCAUACAUAGUGGCCCAUCCUUGUAAUCCUAGCUAUUGAGGAGGCUGAGGCAGGAUGAUCAAAAGUUUGAGGUCAGUCUGAGCAAAUUAAUGAGACCUUGUUUCAAAAUAAAAAUCUGGAGAUGUAGCUUAGUGGUAGGAUGCUUUCCUAGCAUAUGCAAAGCACUGGGUUCAAUCCCUGGGAUCACAGAACAAAAACUGGGACUGGGACAACUGGGUAUUCAUAUGCAAAAGUAUGAAGUCAGACCCACCCUCCCAUCUCACACCACAUGUAAAACAAAUAAAUGAGCUAAAAGGUAAAAUUCUUAGAAGAAAAUAUAAAAGUAAAUCUUAAUGACUUUGAAAGUUGCCAAAGGAUUCUUAGAUAUGGCAAAAGAAAGAAAAAAGAUAAAUUGGAUUUCAUCAAAACAAAGUUUUAGCAUGGUGGUACAUGCCUGUAAUCCCAGCAGCUCUGGAGGCUGAGGUAGGAGGAUGGCGGGUUCAAAGCCUGCCUCAGAAAUUUAGCCAGGCACUAAGCAACUUAGUGAGACCCUGUCUUUAAAUAAAAUAUGAAAAAGGGUUGGGGAUAUGGGAGCGCCCCUGGGUUCAAUUCUUAGUACCAAAAAAUAAACAAAUAAAAUACAAAGUUUUGGGAUUGGAAUAUAGCUUAGUGGUAGAACACUUUCCUAGUAUGUGUGAGUCCCUAAAUUAAAUCCCCAGUAGAGCACAACAAAAUAAAUAAAAAGUUUUGUGCAUCAAAGGACAUAAUCAAGAAAGUAAAACAACUUACAGAAUGGGAGAAAAUAUUUCCAAAUCAUAUAUCUGGUGAAAUUCUAGUAUCCAGAAAUAUGUAAAGAAUUCUUAUAACUCAACAGCAAAAAGACAAACCAAUUAAGAACAAGGAAAGGACUUGAACAAACAUUUCUUUAUAGACAUACAAAUGGCCAACCCACAACAAACAAAACCAUUUAUACAAAGAUUUACAUGUGAAUUUUCAUGGUGGCAUGAGAAUUCUUCCAGCUAAAAACUAGAAACCACCUAAAUAUCCACCAAUGGAAGAGAUAAAAUGUGGUAUACAUACAAUGGUAUACUACUUCUCUGCUAUUUUAUUCAUAGUUCUGACACCAGAUAUGUGGGAUUUUGUUUCUAUACCAAAUAGUUCUCCAACUCUCCAAACACUAUUUGGGUUUCCUACCAUUCAAAUAAAUUCUGACACUCAUUUACCUAGAGUUAGGGCAGACCCCAUGGCUUUAAGGAUCAGUCCCAGAAGACUGCCUCUAUUUCAGAAGACAGGCACAACUCCCGGGUUGCCAACUAUACUUUUUUUUUGGUACCCUGGAUUGAACCCAGGAGUGAAUAACCACUGAGCCAUAUCCCCAGCCCUUUUUUUUUUAUAUUUUAUUUAGAGACAGGGCCUUGCUAAGUUGCUUAGGGCCUUGCUCAGUUUUUGAGCUGGUUUUGAACAUGGGAUCCUGCCUCAGCCUCCCAAGUUGCUGGAAUAACAGCUCUGUGCCAUGGUGCCCAGUCCAGCUAUACCUCUGAUUGACUCCUGGCUCUAAAUCAUGGGUUUCCAUGACCCCCUCCUCAGGUUGGAUAAUUUGCUAGAAUAGCUCACAGAACUCAUGAAAUUUGCUUACUGGUUUAUUAUAAAGGAAUACAACUCCUGGGUGAGGAGGUGUAGGCCUGUAAUCCCAGUGACUCAGGAAGCUGAGACAGGAGAAUGGUAAAUUUAAGGCCAGCCUCAGCAAUUUAAUAAAGACUGUCUCAAAGUAAAAAAUAAGGCUGGGGCUGUAGCUCAGUGGCAGAGCGCUUGCCUAGCAUGUGUAAUGCACUGGGUUCUAUCCUUAGCACCACAUAAAAAUAAACACAUAAAAUAAAGGCAUUCUGUCCAUCUACAACUAUAAAAAUAAAAGUUAAAAAAAAAAAAAGGAGUAGGGAUGUGGCUCAAUGGUAAAGUGCCCUGGGUUCAAUCCCAAGUACCAAAAAAGCAAUAAAAUUUAGGGGCAGCCAAUUGGAAGAGAUGCAUAAGGCCAGAUAUGGAAGGAAAUGGGGGUUUAGAACUUCCACACCCUCUCUGGGUAUGACCCCUCCCAGCAUUUUAAUGUGCUCUUCAUCAACUUGGAAGCUCUGAGAACUGUCUUUAGGAGAUUUUAGGGAGGUUUUGUUUUUGUUUUGUUUUUUUUUUUUCGGUACUGGGGAUUGAACCAUUGAGAUAUAUCCUAAGCACCUUCCCUUGUUUUUUUUUUUUUUUUGUACUGGGAGUUGAACUCAGAGGUACUUUACGACUGAGCUACAUCCCCACACCUUUUUAUUUUUAUUCUGAGACAGGGCCUUGCUAAAUUGCGUGCUAACCUCGAAUUUGCUAUCGUCCUGCCUUCCCUCCUGAGUUGCUGGGAUUACAGGCUGCACUACUGCACCCAGCAUCCUAAACCCUUUCAUUUUUAAUUUUGAGACAGAGUCUCACUAAGUUGCCCAGGC
This 8253-nucleotide long non-coding RNA is filed under the name Marmota monax (woodchuck). The record is from RNAcentral. Lineage: Eukaryota; Metazoa; Chordata; Mammalia; Rodentia; Sciuridae.